GAUUAUUUACUUUAAUUUCUUUUCUGUUUCUUCUAGUUGCCUAAGGCCUGUGAUAGCAGGAUAUGUGGAGAGAGUUCUGAAGUAAAAUACAAAAAACUUGCAUGCUGAAUUCCCGUAGUAGCUGACUAUUUGCAAAGGGGGCACAGUCCUGAGACAUGACAAGGCAGGAGGUGGCUGUCAGGGGUUGUGACCUCCAGGGCGUGCGCAUCUGGGAUGAUUGAGAAACACGCUAUAAGAAAGAUGAAUAGGCGAAGAAAUUAAACACUGAUGUCUGUAGCCCUGUAUGUGCACCUGGUGAAGGGGUGCCUUCAUUCUGCCUCCAGGACGUCUGAGCCCAGACGUCUCGCCCAGCCUGGCAGCAGGAAGCCUUGAUGUAGCCUCGAAGAUGAGAGAAGGCAGCUGCAGAUGAAUGAAUGCAUGAAACUGGAGAGUGAUGCAGACAGAAGAGGAAUCUGCCUGUAACCAUCUUGUGGGGUUCUGUUGUUUUGUCUUGGUCAAAUAACAGCC
RNAcentral lists this long non-coding RNA (507 nucleotides) under Zonotrichia albicollis (white-throated sparrow). RNAcentral describes it as "lncRNA (ENSZALG00000007056.1)". The record is from RNAcentral. Lineage: Eukaryota; Metazoa; Chordata; Aves; Passeriformes; Passerellidae.